Molecule: ribosomal RNA, 3327 nt
Filed under: Callithrix jacchus (white-tufted-ear marmoset)
Lineage: Eukaryota; Metazoa; Chordata; Mammalia; Primates; Cebidae
Description: eukaryotic LSU rRNA
Rfam family: Eukaryotic large subunit ribosomal RNA (bases 832-3327)
Source: RNAcentral
AUCUACCAGUGACCUGGUUAGCCAGUCCUGCUCUUGUUGGAGCCUCAGCAUGGGGCCCGUGUGUUCUACCUCCUGUGCAUCUAUCUGAGUGUCCUGGCUCCCUGGUGCUGCCCGUAGCCCAGGUCUCCUCUGACCCACCCUUGUGUGGCAGGGAGAGGCUGGUGCAGGCGGGCUCCCCUCUACCUGCAUGUGUGCUCCCUGCUGCGGGCACCCAGGGUGGUAGUUACUAUCCCACCCCAUUGCCUCUGUGUCAUGCAGGUCAGGCGUCCUCCUCUCUCAUAGGGUUGUUUGCCGUUUCUUCCCCAGAUCAGGGUUGGCCAACUGUGGGUCUGUCAGGUCUGUGGCUUUGUUGAGGUUGACCCCUUUCCCCUGCUCUGCAUCUUUUGUUCCGAUUGAUGUGGUGACGUCAUGCUCUCCCGGGUCACGAACGAUCGGCGGUGGGCAAGGGAUGGACAUUCGUGGCAAAUGGGACCGCUCUUUUUAUCCUGCUUGUGGGGCUUCUUGCCUCCCUCUCCUCCACAGUGCCUGUGUGGUUUGUGUUGUGAGGCAUAGGGUUACUGAAUCGGGCCUGGCCUCACUGUGCUUCCCAUUCUCCAUCCAGUUGGGGUGGCAGGGUCCUCUGAAGUGGCAGGCCUCCCUUGCUCUCACCUCCUGUGGUUGUUGCCUUGCGGGAGUGGCCCCUCUUUGUGGCAAUGGGGCGCUCGUCCGGCCUUCCUGUCGUCCUGCUCUCAUUGGGGUGGUGUGAGCAUUGGCUUCGCUUUGGCCUUUGGGCCCUCUGUGCCCCCUCCUUCUCUUGCUGCCACGGGUUUUGCAUGUGGGUCCCAAGGAGGAGCUCAGCUCAUCAGGGGAGUGUAGUCGAGGCAGUCGAGCAAGGUGCGCCCCUUAUGCACGUGCAGAGACCUGGGUAUAGGAGCGGAAGACUAAUCCUGCAGCUGGUUCCCUCCGAAGUUUCCCUCAGGAUAGCUGGUGCUCUCACAACCGUUUCACUUCCACACAGUCUUAUCCGGUAAAGCGAAGGGUUAGAGAGGUCUUUGUGCCAAAACGAUCUCAACCUGUUCCAAACUUUAAAUAGGUAAAAAGCCCCACUUGCUGGUGUGGAGCUGGGCGUGAAAUACGAGUGCCUAGUGGGCCACUUUUGGUAAGUAUAACUCGCUCUGCGAGAUGAACUGAGUGCCAGGUUAAGGCACCCAAUGCCGACCUCAUCAGACCCCAGAACAGGUGUUGGUUGAUAUAGGCAGCAGGAUGCUGGCCAUGGAUGUCGGAAUCCGCUAAGGAGUGUAUAACAACUCACCUGCUGAAUCAACUAGCCCUUAAAACGGAUGGCGCUGGAGUGUCGGGCUCAUACCCAGCCAUCGCCUGCAGUUGAGUGUGGACAGAAGUGGCAGCGUGGGCGCGGGUGGUGGCGUUGGUGGUGUCUGCACUGCCCCGCCAGGGCCCCACGGAUGCUACUGCACGAUGCAAUGAGUAGAAGGUUUGCUGCGGUGAGCCUUGAAGCCUAGGGUGCAGUCCCGGGUGGAGCUGCUGCAGGUGCAGAUCUUGGUGGUAGUAACAAAUAUUGAAAGAACUUUGAAGGCCAAAGUGCAGAAGGCUUCCAUGUGAACAGCAAUUGAAGAUGGGUAAGUCGGUCCUGAGAAAUGGGUGAGAGCCGUGCUGAUGGAAUGGGCAAUGGCUUCUGUUGCCCUCGGACAAUUGAAAGUGAGUCGGGUUCAGAUCCCCGAAUCUGGAGUGGUGGGGAUGAGCUCCACGAGGCGUCCAGUGAGGGAACGCGACGGAUCCUGGAGAAGCCAGUGGGAGCCCCGUGGAGACUUCUCUUUCCUUUGUGAAGGACAGGGCCACGAGCCAAUCCCACGCUUUGGGUCCACUCCUGGGGCCACGGUUCCACGUGGUGCCUUGCCUACACCAGUGCCUCACAGCCAACUUAAAAAUGGUGCGCACCAGGGAAAUCUGACUGUUUAAUUAAAACAAAACCUCAUGAAGGCUUGAGGCAGGUGUUGAGGCGAUGUGAUUUCUGCCCAGUGCUCUGAAUGUCAAAGUUAAGAAAUUCAAUGAAGUGUGAAUAAACAUCAGGAGUAACUAUGACUCUUUUAAAAAAUCCAAAUGCUUCGUCUUCUAAUUAGUGAUGUGCAUGAACGGAUGAAGGAGAUUCCCACUGUCACUACCUACUUUCCAGUGAAACCACAGCCUAGGCAAUGGGCUUGGCAGCAUCAGCGAGGAAAGAAGACCCUGUUGGGCUUGACUUUAGUCUGGCAUGGUGAAGAGACAUGAGAGGUGUGGAAUAAGUGGGAGACCACCGGCGCCCCACCCCCACAUCCCCACUGGCAUUGCGGGCCGCUGCUGAAAUGCCACUACCCUGACAGUUUUCUCACUGACCCAGUGAGGCUGGGGAGCGAGCCCCAAGGGGCUCUCGCUUCUUGCGCCAGGAGCCCGGUCGCGUGCCACCAGCUGGGUGUGACCUUCUGCAUGGACAGUGCCAGGUGGGGAGUUUGACUGGGACGGUACACCUGUCAGACAGUAACGCAGGUGUCCUAAGGCAAGCGCAGGGAGGACAAAACCCUCUUGUGGAGCAGAAGGGCAAAAGCUCACUUGAUCUUGAUUUUCAGUAUGAGUACGAAUACAGACCAUGAAAGCGGGGCCUCACGAUCCUCCUGACCUUUUGGGUUUGAAGGAGGAGGUGUCAGAAAAGUUACCACAGGGAUGGUUGUCUUGUGGCCUCCAAGCGUUCAUAGAGACAUCACUUUUUGAUCCUUAGAUGUCAGCUCUUCCUAUCAUUGUGAAGCAUAACUCACCAAGUAUUGGCUUGUUCACCCUCUAAUAGGAAACGUGAGCUGGGUUUAGACCAUCAUGAGACAGGUUAGUUUUACCCUACUUAUGAUGUGUUGUUGCCAUGGUAAUCCUGCUCAGUACAAGAGGAACCACAGGUUCAGACGUUUGGUGUAUGUGCGUUGCUGAGGAGCCAAUGGGGCUAGGCUACCAUCUGUGGGAUUAUGACUGGACGCCUCUAAUUCAGAAUCCACCCAGGCAGAAUGAUACAGCAGCACCAUGGCGUGGAGCCACGGAGCCUCGGUUGGACUCAGAUAGCCGGUCCCCUGCUGUCCAUGCCGGCGUCUACUGCACAUGCCGGGACCAGGGUCUGGUGCAAAGUGCCCCUCGUCCUGGAAAACGGGAUGCAGCAAAAAUGGUGGUCGCCCCCUCGGACGUCACGUGAUGCACAUUCGUGGAGACCCUGGCACAUUUGUAGACGACCUGCUUCUGUGUCCGGGUUUACUAAGUAGCAGAGCAGCUUCCUUGCUGCAAUCUACUGAAAGUAAGCCCUCGACACAAAGAUUU